AAAGGAGCAAUAGGCAGAACUUAUAUAUGUUCAAGAUUGGUUGGACGUUUCUACAAACUACCGGAAUAGUUGACUAUAAGUGGGGAGAUGCAAGGA
Molecule: non-coding RNA, 96 nt
Filed under: Lachnospiraceae bacterium 9_1_43BFAA
Lineage: Bacteria; Bacillati; Bacillota; Clostridia; Lachnospirales; Lachnospiraceae
Also listed under: 1 other name
Description: Purine riboswitch aptamer
Rfam family: Purine riboswitch aptamer
About the family: Riboswitches are metabolite binding domains within certain messenger RNAs that serve as precision sensors for their corresponding targets. Allosteric rearrangement of mRNA structure is mediated by ligand binding, and this results in modulation of gene expression.
Source: Rfam by way of RNAcentral